This 562-nucleotide ribosomal RNA is filed under the name Halomonas sp. 1A8. Its description in RNAcentral is "bacterial SSU rRNA". It matches the Rfam family "Bacterial small subunit ribosomal RNA", at positions 144 to 707 of the family's 1533-position model. Lineage: Bacteria; Pseudomonadati; Pseudomonadota; Gammaproteobacteria; Oceanospirillales; Halomonadaceae. The record is from RNAcentral.
UAACCUGGGGAAACCCAGGCUAAUACCGCAUACGUCCUACGGGAGAAAGGGGGCUUCGGCUCCCGCUAUUGGAUGAGCCUAUGUCGGAUUAGCUAGUUGGUGAGGUAAAGGCUCACCAAGGCAACGAUCCGUAGCUGGUCUGAGAGGAUGAUCAGCCACAUCGGGACUGAGACACGGCCCGAACUCCUACGGGAGGCAGCAGUGGGGAAUAUUGGACAAUGGGCGCAAGCCUGAUCCAGCCAUGCCGCGUGUGUGAAGAAGGCCUUCGGGUUGUAAAGCACUUUCAGCGAGGAAGAACGCCUAGCGGUUAAUACCCGCUAGGAAAGACAUCACUCGCAGAAGAAGCACCGGCUAACUCCGUGCCAGCAGCCGCGGUAAUACGGAGGGUGCAAGCGUUAAUCGGAAUUACUGGGCGUAAAGCGCGCGUAGGUGGCUUGAUAAGCCGGUUGUGAAAGCCCCGGGCUCAACCUGGGAACGGCAUCCGGAACUGUCAAGCUAGAGUGCAGGAGAGGAAGGUAGAAUUCCCGGUGUAGCGGUGAAAUGCGUAGAGAUCGGGAGGAAU